GCAGAGCACUCCUACGGGAGGCAGCAGUGGGGAAUAUUGCACAAUGGGGGAAACCCUGAUGCAGCCAUGCCGCGUGUGUGAAGAAGGCCUUCGGGUUGUAAAGCACUUUCAGUAGGGAGGAAGGUAGUGUAGUUAACACCUGCACUAUUUGACGUUACCUACAGAAGAAGCACCGGCUAACUCCGUGCCAGCAGCCGCGGUAAUACGGAGGGUGCGAGCGUUAAUCGGAAUUACUGGGCGUAAAGCGCAUGCAGGCGGCCUGUUAAGUCAGAUGUGAAAGCCCCGGGGCUUAACCUCGGAAUUGCAUUUGAAACUGGCAGGCUAGAGUCUUGUAGAGGGGGUAGAAUUUCAGGUGUAGCGGUGAAAUGCGUAGAGAUCUGAAGGAAUACCAGUGGCGAAGGCGGCCCCCUGGACAAAGACUGACGCUCAGAUGCGAAAGCGUGGGGAGCAAACAGGAUUAGAUACCCUGUAG
Molecule: ribosomal RNA, 472 nt
Filed under: uncultured bacterium
Lineage: Bacteria
Description: bacterial SSU rRNA
Rfam family: Bacterial small subunit ribosomal RNA
Source: RNAcentral